AUGGCUCGUGUCACUGCACUAGUGGCCCUUGUUGUCCUAGGUUCGCUGGUCGCCUCGGCGACGUCGUCGGAGGAACUGCAUUGCUGCACGGACCACCACAGCUGGGGCAACGGGUUGAAGAACAUCGGCUGCAAGCUGCCGGAGCAGAACGGCGAGUGCAACGCGUGGUGCCAGUCGGGCUGCCGCGGUGGCGAGUGCAAGAUGCGUGACGGACUGCACUUCUGCCAUUGUUACUGUUGA
RNAcentral lists this ribosomal RNA (240 nucleotides) under Triticum aestivum (bread wheat). Its description in RNAcentral is "partial small subunit ribosomal RNA". The record is from RNAcentral. Lineage: Eukaryota; Viridiplantae; Streptophyta; Magnoliopsida; Poales; Poaceae.